This 253-nucleotide ribosomal RNA is filed under the name uncultured bacterium. Its description in RNAcentral is "partial 16S ribosomal RNA". It matches the Rfam family "Bacterial small subunit ribosomal RNA", at positions 524 to 776 of the family's 1533-position model. The record is from RNAcentral.
UACGGAGGGUGCAAGCGUUAUUCGGAAUUACUGGGCGUAAAGCGCACGUAGGCGGCCUUGUAAGUCAGGGGUGAAAUCCCACGGCUCAACCGUGGAACUGCCUUUGUGACUGCAAGGCUGGAGUGCGGCAGAGGGGGAUGGAAUUCCGCGUGUAGCAGUGAAAUGCGUAGAUAUGCGGAGGAACACCGAUGGCGAAGGCAAUCCCCUGGGCCUGCACUGACGCUCAUGCACGAAAGCGUGGGGAGCAAACAGG